AACGAACGCUGGCGGCAGGCCUAACACAUGCAAGUCGAGCGCUGUAGCAAUACAGAGCGGCGCACGGGUGAGGAACACGUGGGAACGUGCCCAACGGUUUGGAAUAACUCAGGGAAACUUGAGCUAAUACCGGAUACGCCCCUUCGGGGGGAAAGAUUUAUCGCCGAUGGAGCGGCCCGCGUCCGAUUAGCUUGUUGGUGAGGUAAAAGCUCACCAAGGCGACGAUCGGUAGCUGGUUUGAGAGAACGAUCAGCCACACUGGGACUGAGACACGGCCCAGACUCCUACGGGAGGCAGCAGUGGGGAAUCUUGGACAAUGGGGGCAACCCUGAUCCAGCCAUGCCGCGUGAGUGAUGAAGGCCCUAGGGUUGUAAAACUCUUUCGGCGGGGACGAUAAUGACGGUACCCGCAGAAGAAGCUCCGGCUAACUUCGUG
RNAcentral lists this ribosomal RNA (435 nucleotides) under uncultured bacterium. RNAcentral's name for it is "bacterial SSU rRNA". It matches the Rfam family "Bacterial small subunit ribosomal RNA", at positions 29 to 507 of the family's 1533-position model. The record is from RNAcentral.